This 394-nucleotide ribosomal RNA is filed under the name uncultured bacterium. RNAcentral describes it as "partial 16S ribosomal RNA". It matches the Rfam family "Bacterial small subunit ribosomal RNA", at positions 523 to 918 of the family's 1533-position model. The record is from RNAcentral.
AUACGUAGGGGACGAGCGUUGUCCGGAAUUACUGGGCGUAAAGGGCGCGCAGGCGGAUAUUUAAGUCAGCUGUAAAAGGCAUGAGCUCAACUCAUGUAUGCGGUUGAAACUGGGUAUCUAGAGUGCUGGAGAGGUAGGCGGAAUUCCCGGUGUAGCGGGGAAAUGCGUAGAUAUCGGGAAGAACACCAGUGGCGAAGGCGGCUUACUGGCCAGCAACUGACGCUGAGGCGCGAAAGCCAGGGGAGCGAACGGGAUUAGAUACCCCGGUAGUCCUGGCCGUAAACGAUGAAUGCUAGGUGUGGGUGUCGAGAGGCAUCCGUGCCGGAGUUAACGCGAUAAGCAUUCCGCCUGGGGAGUACGAUCGCAAGAUUGAAACUUAAAGGAAUUGACGGGG